Molecule: ribosomal RNA, 322 nt
Filed under: uncultured eukaryote
Lineage: Eukaryota
Description: partial 18S ribosomal RNA
Rfam family: Eukaryotic small subunit ribosomal RNA
Source: RNAcentral
CCCUUAGAUGUUCUGGGCCGCACGCGUGCUACACUGAGUGGAUCAGCGGGUCAGGUUGCGCGAAAGUGUUUCCUAAUCUUGAAAUCCGCUCGUGAUGGGGAUUGACGGUUGCAACUUUCCGUCAUGAACGAGGAAUACCUUGUAAGCGCGGGUCAUCAUCCCGCGCUGAAUACGUCCCUGCCCUUUGUACACACCGCCCGUCGCUCCUACCGAUUGAGUGGUCCGGUGAGGCUUUGGGAUCUGAGCAAAGAGAGCGUUUCGCUCGUUUUGCCCGGAAAACUCAGUCGAACCUUAUCAUUUAGAGGAAGGAGAAGUCGUAACA